UGCUGAGAUAUUUUGAAGGUGAGUAGG
This 27-nucleotide non-coding RNA is filed under the name Mus musculus (house mouse). Lineage: Eukaryota; Metazoa; Chordata; Mammalia; Rodentia; Muridae. The record is from RNAcentral.